RNAcentral lists this ribosomal RNA (549 nucleotides) under uncultured bacterium. RNAcentral's name for it is "bacterial SSU rRNA". It matches the Rfam family "Bacterial small subunit ribosomal RNA", at positions 355 to 895 of the family's 1533-position model. The record is from RNAcentral.
UAGGGAAUCUUCGGCAAUGGGGGCAACCCUGACCGAGCAACGCCGCGUGAGUGAAGAAGGUUUUCGGAUCGUAAAGCUCUGUUGUAAGUCAAGAACGAGUGUGAGAGUGGAAAGUUCACACUGUGACGGUAGCUUACCAGAAAGGGACGGCUAACUACGUGCCAGCAGCCGCGGUAAUACGUAGGUCCCGAGCGUUGUCCGGAUUUAUUGGGCGUAAAGCGAGCGCAGGCGGUUUGAUAAGUCUGAAGUUAAAGGCUGUGGCUCAACCAUAGUUCGCUUUGGAAACUGUCAAACUUGAGUGCAGAAGGGGAGAGUGGAAUUCCAUGUGUAGCGGUGAAAUGCGUAGAUAUAUGGAGGAACACCGGUGGCGAAAGCGGCUCUCUGGUCUGUAACUGACGCUGAGGCUCGGAAGCGUGGGGAGCGAACAGGAUUAGAUACCCUGGUAGUCCACGCCGUAAACGAUGAGUGCUAGGUGUUGGAUCCUUUCCGGGAUUCAGUGCCGCAGCUAACGCAUUAAGCACUCCGCCUGGGGAGUACGACCGCAAGGUU